GCAUUGUGUGUUGUAGGCUAAGCUUGCAAUAGUGUAUAGGCGUGUUGUAAUAUG
This 54-nucleotide transfer RNA is filed under the name Flustrellidra hispida. RNAcentral's name for it is "tRNA-Cys". The record is from RNAcentral. Lineage: Eukaryota; Metazoa; Bryozoa; Gymnolaemata; Ctenostomatida; Flustrellidridae.